Molecule: ribosomal RNA, 253 nt
Filed under: uncultured bacterium
Lineage: Bacteria
Description: partial 16S ribosomal RNA
Rfam family: Bacterial small subunit ribosomal RNA
Source: RNAcentral
UACGUAGGGUGCAAGCGUUGUCCGGAAUUAUUGGGCGUAAAGAGCUCGUAGGCGGUCUGUCGCGUCUGCUGUGAAAACUCAGGGCUUAACCCUGAGCUUGCAGUGGGUACGGGUAGACUAGAGUGCGGUAGGGGAGACUGGAAUUCCUGGUGUAGCGGUGAAAUGCGCAGAUAUCAGGAGGAACACCGGUGGCGAAGGCGGGUCUCUGGGCCGUAACUGACGCUGAGGCACGAAAGCGUGGGGAGCAAACAGG